UAAGCGCAUACGGUGGAUGCCUUGGCAGUCAGAGGCGAUGAAAGACGUGGAAGCCUGCGAUAAGGCUCGGGGAGCUGGCAAACAAGCUGUGAUCCGGGCAUCUCUGAAUGGGGAAACCCACCGGUCUUCGGACCGGUACCGUACGGUGAAUACAUAGCCGUACGGGGCGAACUCGGGGAACUGAAACAUCUAAGUACCCGAAGGAAAAGAAAUCAACCGAGAUUCCCUCAGUAGCGGCGAGCGAACGGGGACCAGCCCUUAAGCUGGACAACUGGUAGGAGAAGGCCCUGGAAAGAGCCGCCAUAGUGGGUGAUAGCCCCGUAUCCGAAACCUGAGUCCAGUGAAAUCGAGUAGGACGGGACACGAGACAUCCUGUCUGAACAUGGGGGGACCAUCCUCCAAGGCUAAAUACUCCUGACUGACCGAUAGUGAACCAGUACCGUGAGGGAAAGGCGAAAAGAACCCCUGUGAGGGGAGUGAAAUAGAUCCUGAAACCGUAUGCGUACAAGCAGUCGGAGCGGACUUGUUCCGUGACGGCGUACCUUUUGUAUAAUGGGUCAGCGACUUAU
RNAcentral lists this ribosomal RNA (569 nucleotides) under Picochlorum sp. RCC944. RNAcentral describes it as "partial Bacterial large subunit ribosomal RNA". It matches the Rfam family "Bacterial large subunit ribosomal RNA", at positions 12 to 631 of the family's 2925-position model. Lineage: Eukaryota; Viridiplantae; Chlorophyta; Trebouxiophyceae. The record is from RNAcentral.